This 490-nucleotide ribosomal RNA is filed under the name uncultured bacterium. Its description in RNAcentral is "bacterial SSU rRNA". It matches the Rfam family "Bacterial small subunit ribosomal RNA", at positions 903 to 1397 of the family's 1533-position model. The record is from RNAcentral.
AAAUGAAUUGACGGGGGCCCGCACAAGCAGUGGAGUAUGUGGUUUAAUUCGACGCAACGCGAAGAACCUUACCAGGUCUUGACAUCCAACUAAGACUGUAGAGAUACGGUUGUGCCCUUCGGGGAAAGUUGAGACAGGUGGUGCAUGGUUGUCGUCAGCUCGUGUCGUGAGAUGUUGGGUUAAGUCCCGCAACGAGCGCAACCCUUGUCAUUAGUUGCUACGCAAGAGCACUCUAAUGAGACUGCCGUUGACAAAACGGAGGAAGGUGGGGACGACGUCAAAUCAUCAUGCCCCUUAUGACCUGGGCUACACACGUACUACAAUGGCCGUUAACAACGGGAAGCGAAGCCGCGAGGUGGAGCAAAACCUUAAAAACGGUCCCAGUUCAGAUUGCAGGCUGCAACUCGCCUGCAUGAAGUCGGAAUUGCUAGUAAUCGCAGAUCAUCAUGCUGCGGUGAAUACGUUCCCGGGCCUUGUACACACCGCCCGU